Molecule: ribosomal RNA, 92 nt
Filed under: uncultured bacterium
Lineage: Bacteria
Description: partial 16S ribosomal RNA
Source: RNAcentral
CCCUACGGGUUGUAAACUGCUUUGCAGGGAUAAACCUCAUACGUGUAUGAGGUUGAAUGUACUCUGAGAAUAAGGAUCGGCUAACUCCGUGC